UGCAGUCGACGCCCGGUGCUUUUCUUGUUGCUCUUCUUCGGGAGGAUGCGCAAGAGGGCAGCGGGAGUGACGGACGGGUGCGUAACACGUGAGCGACCUGCCGUUGUGUGGGGGAUAACCGGGGGAAACUCCGGCCAAUACCGCAUGGGCCCUGGGGCUGCAUGGCCCGGGGGUGAAAGGUCCUUUGGGGGACUGCGCGACGAGGGGCUCGCGGCGUAUCAGCUAGCUGGUGGGGUAACGGCCUACCAGGGCGAUGACGCGUAGCUGAUCUGAGAGGAUGAUCAGCCACAUUGGGACUGAGAUACGGCCCAGACUCCUACGGGAGGCAGCAGUGGGGAAUCUUGCGCAAUGGCCGAGAGGCUGACGCAGCGACGCCGCGUGCGGGAGGACACUCUUCGGGGUGUAAACCGCUGUCGGGAGGGACGAAGAUCCUGGGGAGGCAAUGCCCCGGGGGUGACGGUACCUUCAGAGGAAGCACCGGCUAACUCCGUGCCAGCAGCCGCGGUAAUACGGAGGGUGCGAGCGUUGUUCGGAAUUACUGGGCGUAAAGGGCGCGUAGGCGGCCGUUUAAGUCUACCUGUGAAAGGCCGGGGCUCAACCCCGUGCUGGCAGAGAUACUGGGGGGCUGGAGACAGGCAGAGGCGGGUGGAAUUCCGGGUGUAGCGGUGGAAUGCGUAGAGAUCCGGAGAACACCGGGGGCGAAUGCGGCCCGCUGGGACUGAUCUGACGCUGAGC
This 735-nucleotide ribosomal RNA is filed under the name uncultured bacterium. RNAcentral's name for it is "bacterial SSU rRNA". It matches the Rfam family "Bacterial small subunit ribosomal RNA", at positions 56 to 752 of the family's 1533-position model. The record is from RNAcentral.